CACUAAGGUCAAUUUAUUUAUUUUUCUCAGAGCAGAGUAGAGCAGAUGUUUCAGGUUGCUGCCAUCAGAGAGCAGUGACUUGACCUCAGUGUCUUAUUUAGUGUACUCCCACAUUGAACUCUACUUUUUGGGUCCACGCACCUACUUAUUUCUAAACAUCUAGAGUGCAACAAUACCCCUGCCUCCUAAUGUGCCAUAUAACCUGUAUCUCGCCUAUUGUGUGUGUGUGUGUGUGUGUGUGUGUGUGUGUGUGUGUGUGUGUGUGUGUGUGUGUGUUUGUGAAUGUGUUCACGCAGAUAUAAGAAGUUGGGGUUGGGGUUGAUGAUCCACAUGAUGGUGAUGGACCAGGACAGCUCUGGACCUCCUGACUGGCAGCUCCAUCCUCAACCUCCCUUCCUGUCCUUCACACAUGUGCAGGCAGAGAGGCAGUUUUCUGAAGGAUGGUUAAUGUCAGUACCAACAUGUUGUGAUGGAGGCUUCCACCUGAGCUGAACACAGAAACUUGCACACAGUGAUGGAAGCAGUCGUUCCUGUUCAGCAUUGAUAUGCCGGUAAUGGGUUUGAUGAACCACAGCAUGGUGAUGGGCAAUCAGCAUCAGGACCAGGGCCGCUCACAAGGAGAACCUCCUGCCUUGCCUCUUCAUCCUCAACCUCCAAUCUUCCUGCUCUUCACACAUGUGCAGGCACAGAGCCAGUUUUCAGAGGGAGGGCUGAUGACACCAGCAACUUCGGAUCUGAACCUGAUCAACCCAGCACCAACCACUGUGCCGCUCCUCCUCUGCCAACUGCACCACAUGGCUCCACCAUCUCAAAAAGGCACAGACACUACUCCACUUCCUGCGAAGGAUGAGAGAAGAGCCGACCUCCCCACAACGGCACUCACCACCUUCUACAGGGGUGCCAUUGAGAGCAUCCUGACCAGCAGCCUCUCUGUCUGGCAUGGCAGCCGUCAAGCUGAAGACUAGAAGGCAGUACAGAGAGUGGUGAGGACAGCAGAAAAGCUCAUAAGAUCACCCCUACCUGUUCUCCCUACUACCAUCAGGGAAGCGCUAGCCCAGCAUGCGGUGCUGCAAAAGCACACUGGGAAACGGCUUCUUUCCACAAGCCUCAACGCACUGAAGAAAACCACAUGAAUAACCAAGGACACGGGAGAAUAUUCCAUGAACACUUCUUUCACCAUGCCACUUACACUUUACUCAUUGCACCUUGUAUACAGCAUCUUCACAUCACCUGUAUGAACUUCUCCUGCCGUGUGUGUGUGUGUCCACUGUGUUUGUGUAUUUAUUGUCCAUCAGUAUGUUAAUCUUAUUAUUGCACACUGUUUGGGUGUCUGUGUGAGUGUAUUUAUAGUAUGUAUCAGUCUGUAUUUAAUGCCAAUGCCUUAUUUUUAGUUAUUAGUUAAAUGCACAUUGGAGACUGGUCAAACACAAUUUCAAACUUUGUGUUAACCCUCCAUAGAUUUUUGUCAAAAAAUGGAGUCUAAUCUACUGUACUACACAGGCUAUCAACAGACCACACAGUUGAGUGCUGUUUUAUGCACUCUGAAUAUGAGGAGAGGGAGAGGUGACCGUUCACACUUCAUAGUGUAAAAGUAAACAGAAAUAAAUUCACAUUUCAUUCCUGUCUCGUUCACUUCUUUCAGCAAUGUAUGUGGCCUACAUGCAGGGAAGCUGACAGGGGGGACAAAGGGGUCCGUUGACCUGGGCCCAGUGAGACGAGGGGUCCAGGAAUGGGUCCUCAUUACAUUGUAUGUAGUCUAUGUAUUGAGUGGGGGGCCCUUUCAGAUGACUUUGUCCUGGGCAAAGCCAAAGCUGUCAGCGGCCCUGAUUAUGUAUGCACAAACACUGGUUAUGAUGAUAGGAAAAGUUUUCUCUGUUUUCUGAUGGCCUUUGAAUUAAGACAGGCCAAUCUGGAACCUCUCCUGGAUAAAGUGUAAGCUUCAAUGGUGUGGUCACUCCUAAAUCAUAGACAGACAUGGAGUAUGGUAGGCCUAUGGUAAUGAAGAAAUCGUUUUUCUCCAAUAAAACAAACAAAUAGCCUAUUGCUAUUUCAAAUA
Long non-coding RNA from Engraulis encrasicolus (European anchovy), 2056 nucleotides. RefSeq lists it as uncharacterized. NCBI's taxonomy places the organism in Eukaryota, Metazoa, Chordata, Actinopteri, Clupeiformes, Engraulidae. The record is from RefSeq and is a predicted model, not a curated record. The transcript has 4 exons.